GUGCCAGCCGCCGCGGUAAUACGGGGGGGGCAAGCGUUGUUCGGAAUUACUGGGCGUAAAGGGCUCGUAGGCGGCCAACUAAGUCGGAUGUGAAAUCCCCAGGCUUAACCUGGGAACUGCAUCCGAUACUGGAUGGCUUGAAUCCGGGAGAGGGAUGCAGAAUUCCAGGUGUAGCGGUGAAAUGCGUAGAUAUCUGGAGGAAUACCGGUGGCGAAGGCGGCAUCCUGGACCGGCAUUGACGCUGAUGAGCGAAAGCUAGGGGAGCAAACGGGAUUAGAUACCCCCGUAGUCC
Molecule: ribosomal RNA, 292 nt
Filed under: uncultured bacterium
Lineage: Bacteria
Description: partial 16S ribosomal RNA
Rfam family: Bacterial small subunit ribosomal RNA
Source: RNAcentral